AUUGAACGCUGGCGGCAUGCCUUACACAUGCAAGUCGAACGGCAGCACGGGAGCAAUCCUGGUGGCGAGUGGCGAACGGGUGAGUAAUAUAUCGGAACGUGCCCAGUCGUGGGGGAUAACGCAGCGAAAGCUGUGCUAAUACCGCAUACGAUCUAUGGAUGAAAGCGGGGGAUCGCAAGACCUCGCGCGAUUGGAGCGGCCGAUAUCAGAUUAGCUAGUUGGUGGGGUAAAGGCCCACCAAGGCAACGAUCUGUAGCUGGUCUGAGAGGACGACCAGCCACACUGGAACUGAGACACGGUCCAGACUCCUACGGGAGGCAGCAGUGGGGAAUUUUGGACAAUGGGCGCAAGCCUGAUCCAGCAAUGCCGCGUGCAGGACGAAGGCCUUCGGUGUAACUGCUUUGUACGGAGCGAAACGGCUUUCUCUAAUACAGGGGCGUAAUGACGGUACCGUAAGAA
This 459-nucleotide ribosomal RNA is filed under the name uncultured bacterium. RNAcentral's name for it is "bacterial SSU rRNA". It matches the Rfam family "Bacterial small subunit ribosomal RNA", at positions 30 to 486 of the family's 1533-position model. The record is from RNAcentral.